CGGGACACGUGAUAUCCUGUCUGAAUAUGGGGGGACCAUCCUCCAAGGCUAAAUACUCCUGACUGACCGAUAGUGAACCAGUACCGUGAGGGAAAGGCGAAAAGAACCCCUGUGAGGGGAGUGAAAUAGAACCUGAAACCGUGUACGUACAAGCAGUAGGAGCACCUUCGUGGUGUGACUGCGUACCUUUUGUAUAAUGGGUCAGCGACUUAUAUUCAGUGGCAAGGUUAACCGUAUAGGGGAGCCGUAGCGAAAGCGAGUCUUAACUGGGCGCUCAGUCUCUGGAUAUAGACCCGAAACCGGGUGAUCUAGCCAUGGGCAGGUUGAAGGUUGAGUAACAUCAACUGGAGGACCGAACCGACUAAUGUUGAAAAAUUAGCGGAUGACUUGUGGCUAGGGGUGAAAGGCCAAUCAAACUCGGAGAUAGCUGGUUCUCCCCGAAAGCUAUUUAGGUAGCGCCUCGGACGAAUACUACUGGGGGUAGAGCACUGUUAAGGCUAGGGGGUCAUCCCGACUUACCAACCCUUUGCAAACUCCGAAUACCAGUAAGUACUAUCCGGGAGACACACGGCGGGUGCUAACGUCCGUCGUGGAGAGGGAAACAACCCAGACCGCCAGCUAAGGUCCCAAAGUAUUGCUAAGUGGGAAACGAUGUGGGAAGGCUCAGACAGCUAGGAUGUUGGCUUAGAAGCAGCCAUCAUUUAAAGAAAGCGUAAUAGCUCACUAGUCGAGUCGGCCUGCGCGGAAGAUGUAACGGGGCUAAGCAAUACACCGAAGCUGCGGCAAUAUCUUUUAGAUAUUGGGUAGGGGAGCGUUCUGUAAGCCGUUGAAGGUGAAUCGUAAGGUUUGCUGGAGGUAUCAGAAGUGCGAAUGCUGACAUGAGUAACGACAAAGGGGGUGAAAAACCUCCUCGCCGGAAGACCAAGGGUUCCUGUCCAACGUUAAUCGGGGCAGGGUGAGUCGACCCCUAAGGUGAGGCCGAAAGGCGUAAUCGAUGGGAAACGGGUUAAUAUUCCCGUACUUCUGACUAUUGCGAUGGGGGGACGGAGAAGGCUAGGUGGGCCAGGCGACGGUUGUCCUGGUUCAAGUGCGUAGGCUUGAGAGUUAGGUAAAUCCGGCUCUCUCUAAGGCUGAGACACGACGUCGAGCUGCUACGGCAGUGAAGUCAUUGAUGCCAUGCUUCCAGGAAAAGCCUCUAAGCUUCAGAUAGUCAGGAAUCGUACCCCAAACCGACACAGGUGGUCGGGUAGAGAAUACCAAGGCGCUUGAGAGAACUCGGGUGAAGGAACUAGGCAAAAUGGUACCGUAACUUCGGGAGAAGGUACGCUCUUGAUGGUGAAGUCCCUCGCGGAUGGAGCUGACGAGAGUCGCAGAUACCAGGUGGCUGCAACUGUUUAUUAAAAACACAGCACUGUGCAAAAUCGCAAGAUGACGUAUACGGUGUGACGCCUGCCCGGUGCCGGAAGGUUAAUUGAUGGGGUUAGCGCAAGCGAAGCUCUUGAUCGAAGCCCCGGUAAACGGCGGCCGUAACUAUAACGGUCCUAAGGUAGCGAAAUUCCUUGUCGGGUAAGUUCCGACCUGCACGAAUGGCGUAAUGAUGGCCACGCUGUCUCCACCCGAGACUCAGUGAAAUUGAAAUCGCUGUGAAGAUGCAGUGUACCCGCGGCUAGACGGAAAGACCCCGUGAACCUUUACUACAGCUUGGCACUGAACAUUGAACCUACAUGUGUAGGAUAGGUGGGAGGCUAUGAAGACGUGACGCCAGUUGCGUUGGAGCCGUCCUUGAAAUACCACCCUUGUAUGUUUGAUGUUCUAACUUAGACCCAUUAUCUGGGUUGAGGACAGUGCCUGGUGGGUAGUUUGACUGGGGCGGUCUCCUCCCAAAGAGUAACGGAGGAGCACGAAGGUGGGCUAAUCACGGUUGGACAUCGUGAGGUUAGUGCAAUGGCAUAAGCCCGCUUAACUGCGAGAAUGACGGUUCGAGCAGGUGCGAAAGCAGGUCAUAGUGAUCCGGUGGUUCUGUAUGGAAGGGCCAUCGCUCAACGGAUAAAAGGUACUCCGGGGAUAACAGGCUGAUACCGCCCAAGAGUUCAUAUCGACGGCGGUGUUUGGCACCUCGAUGUCGGCUCAUCACAUCCUGGGGCUGAAGUCGGUCCCAAGGGUAUGGCUGUUCGCCAUUUAAAGUGGUACGCGAGCUGGGUUUAGAACGUCGUGAGACAGUUCGGUCCCUAUCUGCCGUGGGCGUUGGAAGAUUGAAGGGGGCUGCUCCUAGUACGAGAGGACCGGAGUGGACGAACCUCUGGUGUUCGGGUUGUGUCGCCAGACGCAUUGCCCGGUAGCUAAGUUCGGAAUUGAUAAGCGCUGAAAGCAUCUAAGCGCGAAGCGAGCCCUGAGAUGAGUCUUCCCUGA
Molecule: ribosomal RNA, 2409 nt
Filed under: Vibrio cholerae
Lineage: Bacteria; Pseudomonadati; Pseudomonadota; Gammaproteobacteria; Vibrionales; Vibrionaceae
Description: bacterial LSU rRNA
Rfam family: Bacterial large subunit ribosomal RNA
Source: RNAcentral